AGUGAACGCUGGCGGUAGGCCUAACACAUGCAAGUCGAACGGCAGCACAGUAAGAGCUUGCUCUUACGGGUGGCGAGUGGCGGACGGGUGAGGAAUACAUCGGAAUCUACUUUUUCGUGGGGGAUAACGUAGGGAAACUUACGCUAAUACCGCAUACGACCUACGGGUGAAAGCAGGGGAUCUUCGGACCUUGCGCGAUCGAAUGAGCCGAUGUCGGAUUAGCUAGUUGGCGGGGUAAAGGCCCACCAAGGCGACGAUCCGUAGCUGGUCUGAGAGGAUGAUCAGCCACACUGGAACUGAGACACGGUCCAGACUCCUACGGGAGGCAGCAGUGGGGAAUAUUGGACAAUGAGCGCAAGCCUGAUCCAGCCAUACCGCGUGAGUGAGGAAGGCCUUCGGGUUGUGAAGCCCUUUUGUUGGGAAAGAAAAGCAGCAGGUUAAUACCCCGCUGUUCUGACGGUACCCAAAGAGUAAGCACCGGCUAACUUCGUG
This 492-nucleotide ribosomal RNA is filed under the name uncultured bacterium. RNAcentral describes it as "partial 16S ribosomal RNA". It matches the Rfam family "Bacterial small subunit ribosomal RNA", at positions 29 to 507 of the family's 1533-position model. The record is from RNAcentral.